CAGCCGCCACGGGAAAACAGAGGGUGCAAGCGUUAAUCGGAAUUACUGGGCGUAAAGCGCGCGUAGGUGGUUUGUUAAGUUGGAUGUGAAAGCCCCGGGCUCAACCUGGGAACUGCAUCCAAAACUGGCAAGCUAGAGUACGGUAGAGGGUGGUGGAAUUUCCUGUGUAGCGGUGAAAUGCGUAGAUAUAGGAAGGAACACCAGUGGCGAAGGCGACCACCUGGACUGAUACUGACACUGAGGUGCGAAAGCGUGGGGAGCAAACAGGAUUAGAUACCCGUGUAGUCCAUGUAUCUUAUAA
Molecule: ribosomal RNA, 301 nt
Filed under: uncultured bacterium
Lineage: Bacteria
Description: partial 16S ribosomal RNA
Rfam family: Bacterial small subunit ribosomal RNA
Source: RNAcentral